UACGAAGGGGGCUAGCGUUGUUCGGAAUCACUGGGCGUAAAGCGCACGUAGGCGGCUUCUUAAGUCGGUGGUGAAAUCCUGGAGCUCAACUCCAGAACUGCCUUCGAUACUGGGAAGCUCGAGUCCGGGAGAGGUGAGUGGAACUGCGAGUGUAGAGGUGAAAUUCGUAGAUAUUCGCAAGAACACCAGUGGCGAAGGCGGCUCACUGGCUCGAUACUGACGCUGAGGUGCGAAAGCGUGGGGAGCAAACAGG
RNAcentral lists this ribosomal RNA (253 nucleotides) under uncultured bacterium. RNAcentral's name for it is "partial 16S ribosomal RNA". It matches the Rfam family "Bacterial small subunit ribosomal RNA", at positions 524 to 776 of the family's 1533-position model. The record is from RNAcentral.